Molecule: transfer RNA, 73 nt
Filed under: Trichonephila clavata
Lineage: Eukaryota; Metazoa; Arthropoda; Arachnida; Araneae; Nephilidae
Rfam family: tRNA
About the family: Transfer RNA (tRNA) molecules are approximately 80 nucleotides in length. Their secondary structure includes four short double-helical elements and three loops (D, anti-codon, and T loops).
Source: Rfam by way of RNAcentral
GUCCCUGUAGCACAAUGGAUAGAGCGUUGGACUUCUAAUCCAAAGGUCGUGGGUCCGAAUCCCACCUGGGAUG